GCUGAUGAUAUUGUCAUAUAGGCAGAUGUAACUUCCUUCCUCAAAUACUGAGAAACAGAGUAACCAAGGAACCAUGGCAGAAUUUUCAGCUGCAGGCUGUUUGGAGCAGGGACUUCUCAUUGUAUUUCUAAAUGCAUGUAUCAUGCCUGGCACAACCAGAGCUAAUGUGGUUUGGUUUCCUACCUGCUGUGGUGCAGAUCUGAUGAGAAUUCAGCUGCUGUGGGAAACGUGGCACCAACACUCUGUGAUGACUCAAGAGCUGGCAGGGAGCCCUACAGUUUUGCUGAAUACCAGCUUUUGAAGAAUUGACUAUAUAGAAUGUUCCCACAGUCCUGACAAAGAGAAGUGAAGAGCAAAAGAUAUAAAAGAUAAACUGUUGAGGAAACACUGGAAUUUUGCCUGGGGUUCCAAGCAUUAUAACAUUUUCUAUCCCCAGCUAUUCACUUUGUCCCUGGCUUGAAUCAAAUGAACAAUCUGACUGCAGCUGAACCAGACAUAUGCCCUGGGACUGUGAUGCUGCUGAAGCCCCUCCACAGAAAACAAGUUCUCUAAAACUAAUGUAAAUGAGAGUAGGAUCAAGUCUUUUUCUGGUAGUGUUUGCUUGCAUUAGAAAAGGGGAAAAAGAGGGAAUGGUGAAAAAACAGGUAACAAGUGUUCUCAUUUGUCUGGAAAAAGCACUCGUGCUUUUUUGGAAUUGCCUCCUGAUUUGUUAUGAAACUCUGAAAUUUUUUAAUUUUAGUUCAGUUUCAUGACUAAUCACAGUUUGACAAAUAUGGAAAUUUGUAAGUGUGGGGGAAUUGAUGUGCAGUAGUUUUUGUUCUUUCCCCUGUUCUGUUUGAGGAUCUGCAUGUUGAUGUAUUUAUUUUGAAUUAAUGUUUAUUUCAGUAAGCUGAGGGAUUUGUUAUGAUUAUUAUGAAAGGGCCUGGUAUAUAUGCAAAUGAAAUUCAGAGAAGUAGGAGAAAGGAACUAAUUUGCUAUUGGAAUUUGAGGAUAAGUUAUUUUGAUCAAAGCUUCUAGAUAAAUAUUAUUCCACAUAGCAAACCUGUUUCUUCCUUGUCUUAAUGAAUUCUUGUAUUGUAAAUUUGUGUAAGCAAAAUUGAUUUGGAACACCAACAUUAGUUUAGUCAGUCAGUUUAUAUGUUACUGGAAUAUUUUCAGUUACAAGCAGGGUCACAAAUGUCCACCUUAUUUUUAAGGAAUUUAGGGAAACAAUAUUCUUGUCAAUGUGUGGUGACUGGGUGAAGAUCUAGGUUUUAAAGUGCAACUAAUUUUUAUGUAAAUUUAUUUUGCUUGCAAGGAUUUUACUUUUCUAAACGUGGUUUUAGAAGACUUGGUUCUCUAGAUAUAAUACAGGGUGCUUCUUUUUUGUUUGAAGAAAACUUGUUUCA
This is a long non-coding RNA of Passer domesticus (house sparrow), 1388 nucleotides long. RefSeq lists it as uncharacterized. Lineage: Eukaryota; Metazoa; Chordata; Aves; Passeriformes; Passeridae. The transcript is spliced from 6 exons. The record is from RefSeq and is a predicted model, not a curated record.